RNAcentral lists this ribosomal RNA (460 nucleotides) under uncultured bacterium. Its description in RNAcentral is "partial 16S ribosomal RNA". It matches the Rfam family "Bacterial small subunit ribosomal RNA", at positions 338 to 795 of the family's 1533-position model. The record is from RNAcentral.
CCUACGGGAGGCAGCAGUGAGGAAUCUUGGUCAAUGGACGAGAGUCUGAACCAGCCAAGUAGCGUGAAGGAUGACUGCCCUAUGGGUUGUAAACUUCUUUUAUAUGGGAAUAAAAUGUUCCACGUGUGGGAUUUUGUAUGUACCAUAUGAAUAAGGAUCGGAUAACUCCGUGCCAGCAGCCGCGGUAAUACGGAGGAUCCGAGCGUUAUCCGGAUUUAUUGGGUUUAAAGGGAGCGUAGGUGGAUUGUUAAGUCAGUUGUGAAAGUUUGCGGCUCAACCGUAAAAUUGCAGUUGAAACUGGCAGUCUUGAGUACAGUAGAGGUGGGCGGAAUUCGUGGUGUAGCGGUGAAAUGCUUAGAUAUCACGAAGAACUCCGAUUGCGAAGGCAGUUCACUGGACUGCAACUGACACUGAGGCUCGAAAGUGUGGGUAUCAAACAGGAUUAGAUACCCUAGUAGUC